This is a long non-coding RNA of Empidonax traillii (willow flycatcher), 247 nucleotides long. RefSeq lists it as uncharacterized. Lineage: Eukaryota; Metazoa; Chordata; Aves; Passeriformes; Tyrannidae. The record is from RefSeq and is a predicted model, not a curated record. The transcript has 3 exons.
UCCAUGCAAAGAAGAUGUUUCUGCUGCAGCCACACCUAAGUCAAGGGGUUUGGUUUCUACAUUGAGAGUCAUUAAUCAUUUCAUUUAUAAAAAGACUAGUGCCUGCCAUUCGAGAUCUUAGUGGAUGGUCUGAUCACUUAGAGAGAAGAGGAAAGUUUCUGCUCAAAAAUGGCAAGGAGAUUCACACAGACAGGACAAGAAAUAACAAAGAAAGACUUGAGAACCUCCAGCUUUUAUACUUCCUCAA